Molecule: ribosomal RNA, 616 nt
Filed under: uncultured fungus
Lineage: Eukaryota; Fungi
Description: eukaryotic LSU rRNA
Rfam family: Eukaryotic large subunit ribosomal RNA
Source: RNAcentral
CCCGCUGAACUUAAGCAUAUCAAUAAGCGGAGGAAAAGAAACCAACAGGGAUUACCUCAGUAACGGCGAGUGAAGCGGUAACAGCUCAAAUUUGAAAGCUGCCAACAGGCCGCGUUGUAAUUUGUAGAAGCUGCUUUGGGUGUCGGCCCGGUCUAAGUUCCUUGGAACAGGACGUCAUAGAGGGUGAGAAUCCCGUAUGUGAUCGGUGCCGUUGCCCGUGUAAAGCGCUUUCGACGAGUCGAGUUGUUUGGGAAUGCAGCUCAAAAUGGGUGGUAAAUUUCAUCUAAAGCUAAAUAUUGGCCAGAGACCGAUAGCGCACAAGUAGAGUGAUCGAAAGAUGAAAAGCACUUUGGAAAGAGAGUUAAACAGUACGUGAAAUUGUUGAAAGGGAAGCGCUUGCAACCAGACUUGCGGGCGGUCGAUCAUCCGAGGUUCUCCCCGGUGCACUCGAUCGUUCUCAGGCCAGCAUCGGUUUCCGGGGUGGGAUAAAGGCGGUGGGAAUGUGGCUCUUCGGAGUGUUAUAGCCCACCGUGCAAUGCCGCCACUGGGGACCGAGGACCGCGCUUCGGCUAGGAUGCUGGCGUAAUGGCUUUAAUCGACCCGUCUUGAAACACGG